UCAGUCGACUCCUACGGGGAGGCAGCAGUGGGGGAAUAUUGCACAAUGGGCGCAAGCCUGAUGCAGCCAUGCCGCGUGUGUGAAGAAGGACCUUCGGGUUGUUAAAGCACUUUCAGUCGUGAGGAAGGUAGUGUAGUUAAUAGCUGCAUUAUUUGACGUUAGCGACAGAAGAAGCACCGGCUAACUCCGUGCCAGCAGCCGCGGUAAUACGGAGGGUGCGAGCGUUAAUCGGAAUUACUGGGCGUAAAGCGCAUGCAGGUGGUUUGUUAAGUCAGAUGUGAAAGCCCGGGGCUCAACCUCGGAAUAGCAUUUGAAACUGGCAGACUAGAGUACUGUAGAGGGGGGUAGGAAUUUCAGGUGUAGCGGUGAAAUGCGUAGAGAUCUGAAGGAAUACCGGUGGCGAAGGCGGCCCCCUGGACAGAUACUGACACUCAGAUGCGAAAGCGUGGGGAGCAAACAGGAUUAGAUACCCUGGUAG
This 478-nucleotide ribosomal RNA is filed under the name uncultured bacterium. RNAcentral describes it as "bacterial SSU rRNA". It matches the Rfam family "Bacterial small subunit ribosomal RNA", at positions 328 to 793 of the family's 1533-position model. The record is from RNAcentral.